UGGCUCUAUCUCCAGAAAAGCGAAAACUGAAUUUUUAGUGCUGAAACGGUAAGCCGCUUGAGCCGGAGGGGCAUUUGCCAGUACGCAGUUGCGAACUGCGGAUUUUGUCCCAUCUUGAAGAAAAGUGGAAGCUCUAUUCGGUAUUAUCACCAGGGAAAUGAUAAUAGGAUUCUAGUCACGAACUGUGGGAAAAAGAGUUGACGUAUUAAUCGUGUGGCUUUUAUGCUUAAAGGAGCCAACAUGAUAGGGAGUUGUUAUGGAUACCGAUUUGAAAUUGUCAUUGCUUACUACUGUUGCCGCAUUGGCAAUGAUUAUUGUUUUCGGUUUUAUUGCUGCAUUUAACUAAUUC
Molecule: small RNA, 349 nt
Filed under: Chania multitudinisentens RB-25
Lineage: Bacteria; Pseudomonadati; Pseudomonadota; Gammaproteobacteria; Enterobacterales; Yersiniaceae
Description: Enterobacterial sRNA STnc550
Rfam family: Enterobacterial sRNA STnc550
Source: Rfam by way of RNAcentral